Molecule: unclassified non-coding RNA, 240 nt
Filed under: soil metagenome
Description: partial contains 5.8S ribosomal RNA, internal transcribed spacer 2, and large subunit ribosomal RNA
Source: RNAcentral
AACUGAUACUACCUGCGGGAACCUGCGGAGGGAUCAUUAUUGAAUUCCAAGCGCAGUUGUUGCUGGCUCUCCGGAGCAUGUGCACGCUGCGCAUAUAUUCAACCACCUGUGAACCUAUUGUAGACCUGGGAUGAAAUCUCAAGGCAACUUGGACGUGGGGCUUGCUGGCUUCUUCACUGAGAUCAGCUUUCCCUUGCUCGUCCUGGGUCUAUGCUUUACAAACCCUUAUGUAUGUUAAAG